UUUCAUACAAUCGGGAUAGGUGCCCUACGGGGCUUAAUAGGGAAGUCCGGUGCAAGCCCGGCGCGGUCCCGCCACUGUAAUGAGGAGCAAACCCAAGUUAUGCCACUGGGAUGAAAGUCCUGGGAAGGUUUGGGCGAGCGAUGAUCCAGAGCCAGGAGAACUGCCUAUCUGACAGUCACCGC
RNAcentral lists this non-coding RNA (182 nucleotides) under Thermosinus carboxydivorans. RNAcentral also lists the same sequence under 1 other name. The record is from RNAcentral. Lineage: Bacteria; Bacillati; Bacillota; Negativicutes; Selenomonadales; Sporomusaceae.